This 232-nucleotide ribosomal RNA is filed under the name uncultured bacterium. RNAcentral's name for it is "partial 16S ribosomal RNA". It matches the Rfam family "Bacterial small subunit ribosomal RNA", at positions 99 to 334 of the family's 1533-position model. The record is from RNAcentral.
CGGACGGGUGAGGAAUGCAUAGGAAUCUGCCCAGUAGCGGGGGACAACCUGGGGAAACUCAGGCUAAUACCGCAUAAGCCCUACGGGGGAAAGCGGGGGACCUUCGGGCCUCGCACUAUUGGAUGAGCCUAUGUCAGAUUAGCUUGUUGGUAGGGUAACGGCCUACCAAGGCGACGAUCUGUAGCUGGUCUGAGAGGACGAUCAGCCACACUGGGACUGAGACACGGCCCAG